RNAcentral lists this ribosomal RNA (776 nucleotides) under uncultured marine bacterium. Its description in RNAcentral is "bacterial SSU rRNA". It matches the Rfam family "Bacterial small subunit ribosomal RNA", at positions 14 to 794 of the family's 1533-position model. The record is from RNAcentral.
UGAUCUGGCUCAGAUUGAACGCUGCGGCAGCUACACAUGCAAGUCGAACGGUAACAGGAUAGCUUGCUAUCGCUGACGAGUGGCGGACGGGUGAGUAAUACUUAGGGAUCUGCCUCUGUGUGGGGGAUAACUAUUGGAAACGAUAGCUAAUACCGCAUAAUGUCUACGGACCAAAGCGGGCUUCGGCUCGUGCGCAGAGAGGAACCUAAGCGAGAUUAGCUAGUUGGUGAGGUAAAGGCUCACCAAGGCGACGAUCUCUAGCUGUUCUGAGAGGAAGAUCAGCCACACUGGAACUGAGACACGGUCCAGACUCCUACGGGAGGCAGCAGUGGGGAAUAUUGCACAAUGGGGGAAACCCUGAUGCAGCCAUGCCGCGUGUGUGAAGAAGGCCUUCGGGUUGUAAAGCACUUUCAGUUGUGAGGAAAGUUUAGUAGUUAAUACCUGCUAGAUGUGACGUUAGCAACAGAAGAAGCACCGGCUAACUCCGUGCCAGCAGCCGCGGUAAUACGGAGGGUGCGAGCGUUAAUCGGAAUUACUGGGCGUAAAGCGCACGCAGGCGGUCUGUUAAGCUAGAUGUGAAAGCCCCGCGCUCAACGUGGGAGGGUCAUUUAGAACUGGCAGACUAGAGUCUUGGAGAGGGGAGUGGAAUUCCAGGUGUAGCGGUGAAAUGCGUAGAGAUCUGGAGGAACAUCAAUGGCGAAGGCAACUCCCUGGCCAAAGACUGACGCUCAUGUGCGAAAGUGUGGGUAGCGAACAGGAUUAGAUACCCUGGUAGU